CCGCCUGGGGAGUACGGCCGCAAGGUUAAAACUCAAAUGAAUUGACGGGGGCCCGCACAAGCGGUGGAGCAUGUGGUUUAAUUCGAUGCAACGCGAAGAACCUUACCUGGUCUUGACAUCCACAGAACUUUCCAGAGAUGGAUUGGUGCCUUCGGGAACUGUGAGACAGGUGCUGCAUGGCUGUCGUCAGCUCGUGUUGUGAAAUGUUGGGUUAAGUCCCGCAACGAGCGCAACCCUUAUCCUUUGUUGCCAGCGGUCCGGCCGGGAACUCAAAGGAGACUGCCAGUGAUAAACUGGAGGAAGGUGGGGAUGACGUCAAGUCAUCAUGGCCCUUACGACCAGGGCUACACACGUGCUACAAUGGCGCAUACAAAGAGAAGCGACCUCGCGAGAGCAAGCGGACCUCAUAAAGUGCGUCGUAGUCCGGAUUGGAGUCUGCAACUCGACUCCAUGAAGUCGGAAUCGCUAGUAAUCGUGGAUCAGAAUGCCACGGUGAAUACGUUCCCGGGCCUUGUACACACCGCCCGUCACACCAUGGGAGUGGGUUGCAAAAGAAGUAGGUAGCUUAACCUUCGGGAGGGCGCUUACCACUUUGUGAUUCAUGACUGGGGUGAAGUCGUAACAAGGUAACCGUAGGGGAACCUGCGGUUGGAUCACCUCCUUACCUUAAAGAA
RNAcentral lists this ribosomal RNA (674 nucleotides) under Salmonella enterica subsp. enterica serovar London. Its description in RNAcentral is "bacterial SSU rRNA". It matches the Rfam family "Bacterial small subunit ribosomal RNA", at positions 869 to 1533 of the family's 1533-position model. The record is from RNAcentral. Lineage: Bacteria; Pseudomonadati; Pseudomonadota; Gammaproteobacteria; Enterobacterales; Enterobacteriaceae.